GAUGAACGCUGACAGAAUGCUUAACACAUGCAAGUCGAUUCAAUUUACCUUCGGGUAUUGAGGAUGGCGGACGGGUGAGUAACGCGUAAGGAACUUGCCUCUUGGUCUGGGACAACUGUUGGAAACGACAGCUAAUACCGGAUAUUAUGAGAUUCUCGCAUGGGAAACUUAUGAAAGCUAUAUGCGCCAAGAGAGAGCCUUGCGUUCCAUUAGCUAGUUGGUGGGGUAACGGCCCACCAAGGCGACGAUGGAUAGCCGGCCUGAGAGGGUGAACGGCCACAAGGGGACUGAGACACGGCCCUUACUCCUACGGGAGGCAGCAGUGGGGAAUAUUGGACAAUGGGCCACAAGCCUGAUCCAGCAAUUCUGUGUGCACGAUGAAGGUCUUCGGAUUGUAAAGUGCUUUCAGUUGGGAAGAAGAAAGUGACGGUACCAACAGAAGAAGCGACGGCUAAAUACGUGCCAGCAGCCGCGGUAAUACGUAUGUCGCAAGCGUUAUCCGGAUUUAUUGGGCGUAAAGCGCGUCUAGGCGGAAAAAUAAGUCUGAUGUUAAAAUGCGGGGCUCAACUCCGUAUUGCGUUGGAAACUGUUUUUCUAGAGUACUGNAGAGGUGGGCGGAACUACAAGUGUAGAGGUGAAAUUCGUAGAUAUUUGUAGGAAUGCCGAUGGAGAAGUCAGCUCACUGGACAGAUACUGACGCUAAAGCGCGAAAGCGUGGGGAGCAAACAGGAUUAGAUACCCUGGUAGUCCACGCCGUAAACNAUGAUCACUAG
RNAcentral lists this ribosomal RNA (773 nucleotides) under uncultured prokaryote. RNAcentral describes it as "bacterial SSU rRNA". It matches the Rfam family "Bacterial small subunit ribosomal RNA", at positions 28 to 819 of the family's 1533-position model. The record is from RNAcentral.